Molecule: long non-coding RNA, 564 nt
Organism: Aegilops tauschii subsp. strangulata
Lineage: Eukaryota; Viridiplantae; Streptophyta; Magnoliopsida; Poales; Poaceae
Source: RefSeq, a predicted model, not a curated record
UUUGCGAUGUGACAUUUGUUGGAUCUCAUAGCUUUGGUGGUUUGCUUUAAAGCUAGGCGAAAGCUUUUUUGGGUAAAUGUCAGAGCCCUCGCUCAUGUCACCAAUGACCAAUCCCUGCGUUUCAAAAAGAAAAGAAAAGACCAAUCCCUGCGCUCUCUCUCUCUCUUAUUGCGAAAGCCCUGCUCUCUCCUUGUCGGCGCCGGCGACGAGGGGAGCUCUUUCUCAGCGUCCGCAACAUCGACGGUCGGAGAGCAGUGAGACUCCAAGUCAUGUGUGCUGGGGACUGGUGGGUGAAUUCCCUCUUGAGGAACUUAAGCAGAUGAAAUGGUGAACUGAGGGAUAAGCUAUGGGUAGCUGCAAUUUUUUUGUAUUUGAUUUGACUGUCUAAUGGUAGAAAACAAUACAUUGAAGGAUUCAAAACUCCUAUUUUCUUUCUCAGAAAUGACCUAGAGCCUUCUGGUACUAACUAGCAGUGGAGUACUAAGCUUUGCAUUAUGUACCAAUUCCUUUAUUGAGCUUUCAGAUUGAUUGAAAAUUGAUGCUGAUGACUUUGCAUUAAGUAUA